GGAGGAGGCGGAGGAGGAGGGAGAAGGAAGAAGGGUAGGCCAUUUGAGCUCAGGACGUGAAGGAGAGAAGAAGGGGAGGAGAGAAGAUAUCUCCUGCAUGGUCCGUCAUCGCCAACUCGGCUAUACGGACACGUGGCACUCUACACAAAAGCCGACCCAGCUCACCGGGUUGUUGAGGCAAUACAGGAUGGAGGAGGCCAAGGGGACACCCACAAAGCUGAUGGAUUGUAGCAUCUUCAUGGAUCCUACUACGAGAUGUGGCGGCUAACUGAGGAUUGCGAGACAGAAAAUACAGGAUGAGGGAGGUGUCCAUGAAGACGAAACACAAGACAGACCGAUAGAUGAGGACGGAGAGACAGAACAUAGAGGUUAAUGCACAACUAUCCAUGAAUGGGCUACUGAAGGCAGGAGAGAGAGGACGCAGGCUGAGGGAGAGAAAAUACAGGAUGGAGAAGCAGACAUCCAUGACGAGCCCACUGAAGUGAGAAGACAUGGCUGGCUGAUGGAGAGGCUGUGUCCAGCAUCACAUCACGUGUCAAGAAAGAAGGCACCAGUAAAUUAUUGCCAGACACCAAUCCACUCCUGCUGAACACCAACACGAGGACUUCGCCACCAUGGAGUCCCACUGUGGUGCCGGCACGCAUGUACUGGAUGGAUUCUAACAGUUUAGAGAGUUGACUCCACUAUGUAUAUAGCAAUUAAUGUAAAAC
This is a long non-coding RNA of Eriocheir sinensis (Chinese mitten crab), 710 nucleotides long. RefSeq lists it as uncharacterized. The record is from RefSeq and is a predicted model, not a curated record. Lineage: Eukaryota; Metazoa; Arthropoda; Malacostraca; Decapoda; Varunidae. The transcript is spliced from 3 exons.